AGUCUUUGCAGUAAUGCAAGGCAUACGGCUCAGUAACACGUAGUCAACUUACCCUAUGGACGAGGAUAAUCUCGGGAAACUGAGCAUAAUACUCGAUAGAUCAUAAUGCCUGGAAUGGUUUAUGGUUAAAAUGAUUCGUCGCCAUAGGAUGGGACUGCGGCCUAUCAGCUUGUUGGUGAGGUAAUGGCCCACCAAGGCGAUUACAGGUACGGGCUCUGAGAGGAGAAGCCCGGAGAUGGGUACUGAGACAAGGACCCAGGCCCUAUGGGGCGCAGCAGGCGAGAAAACUUUGCAAUGUGCGAAAGCACGACAAGGUUAAUCCGAGUGAUUUCUGCUAAAGAAAUCUUUUGCAAGUCAUAAAACCACUAGUGAAUAAGGGGUGGGCAAGUUCUGGUGUCAGCCGCCGCGGUAAAACCAGCACCUCAAGUGGUCAGGAGGAUUAUUGGGCCUAAAGCAUCCGUAGCCGGCACUGUAAGUUUUCGGUUAAAUCCAUGUGCUCAACGCAUGGGCUGCCGAAAAUACUGCAUAGCUAGGGAGUGGGAGAGGUAGACGGUACUCAGUAGGAAGGGGUAAAAUCCUUUGAUCUAUUGAUGACCACCUGUGGCGAAGGCGGUCUACCAGAACACGUUCGACGGUGAGGGAUGAAAGCUGGGGGAGCAAACCGGAUUAGAUACCCGGGUAGUCCCAGCUGCAAACGAUGCAGACUCGAUGAUGCAUUGGCAUAUAGCC
This 729-nucleotide ribosomal RNA is filed under the name uncultured archaeon. RNAcentral describes it as "bacterial SSU rRNA". It matches the Rfam family "Archaeal small subunit ribosomal RNA", at positions 56 to 791 of the family's 1478-position model. The record is from RNAcentral.